UUCGUUCUAGAAUUAAAGGCUGGUGGGUGUCACAUCACUACGUCUCAACCUUUUUAUCAGGUGUUAUGUUGACAUGGCCAGAAGGUCAAAUGUAUCAGAUGUUCAGAAGUCAGUUCCUGGCUUUCUCCAUCUAUCAGAGUUGUGUGCAGUUUCUUCAGUAUUAUUAUCAGAGCGGCUGCUUGUAUCGGUUACGGGCUCUGGGGGAAAGAAACCAGCUGGACCUGACAGUGGAGGGCUUUCAAUCAUGGAUGUGGAGGGGGCUUACAUUUCUCCUUCC
Molecule: long non-coding RNA, 277 nt
Organism: Sinocyclocheilus grahami
Lineage: Eukaryota; Metazoa; Chordata; Actinopteri; Cypriniformes; Cyprinidae
Exons: 4
Source: RefSeq, a predicted model, not a curated record